Molecule: signal recognition particle RNA, 99 nt
Filed under: Gammaproteobacteria bacterium
Lineage: Bacteria; Pseudomonadati; Pseudomonadota; Gammaproteobacteria
Description: signal recognition particle sRNA small type
Rfam family: Bacterial small signal recognition particle RNA
About the family: The signal recognition particle (SRP) is a universally conserved ribonucleoprotein involved in the co-translational targeting of proteins to membranes.
Source: RNAcentral
GUUCUGUCCUUCUGGACUGUCUCUUUUGGAAAACUGGUCAGGAUGGGAACAUAGCAGCCAUAACCUUUAGAUAUAGUGCUUGAAGGGUUGCGGAACUAA